Molecule: ribosomal RNA, 483 nt
Filed under: uncultured bacterium
Lineage: Bacteria
Description: partial 16S ribosomal RNA
Rfam family: Bacterial small subunit ribosomal RNA
Source: RNAcentral
AUUGAACGCUGGCGGCAGGCCUAACACAUGCAAGUCGAGCGGAUGAAGGGAGCUUGCUCCUGGAUUCAGCGGCGGACGGGUGAGUAAUGCCUAGGAAUCUGCCUGGUAGUGGGGGAUAACGUCCGGAAACGGGCGCUAAUACCGCAUACGUCCUGAGGGAGAAAGUGGGGGAUCUUCGGACCUCACGCUAUCAGAUGAGCCUAGGUCGGAUUAGCUAGUUGGUGGGGUAAAGGCCUACCAAGGCGACGAUCCGUAACUGGUCUGAGAGGAUGAUCAGUCACAAUGGAACUGAGACACGGUCCAGACUCCUACGGGAGGCAGCAGUGGGGAAUAUUGGACAAUGGGCGAAAGCCUGAUCCAGCCAUGCCGCGUGUGUGAAGAAGGUCUUCGGAUUGUAAAGCACUUUAAGUUGGGAGGAAGGGCAGUAAGUUAAUACCUUGCUGUUUUGACGUUACCAACAGAAUAAGCACCGGCGAACUUCGU